GGCCUAACACAUGCAAGUCGAACGGUGGCAGGAGUAAGCUUGCUGCUUCGCUGACGAGUGGCGGACGGGUGAGUAAUGUCUGGGAAACUGCCUGAUGGAGGGGGAUAACUACUGGAAACGGUGGUUAAUACCGCAUAACGUCGCAAGACCAAAGAGGGGGACCUUCGGGCCUCUUGCCAUCAGAUGUGCCCAGAUGGGAUUAGCUUGUUGGUGAGGUAACGGCUCACCAAGGCGACGAUCCCUAGCUGGUCUGAGAGGAUGACCAGCCACACUGGAACUGAGACACGGUCCAGACUCCUACGGGAGGCAGCAGUGGGGAAUAUUGCACAAUGGGCGCAAGCCUGAUGCAGCCAUGCCGCGUGUAUGAAGAAGGCCUUCGGGUUGUAAAGUACUUUCAGCGGGGAGGAAGGUGUUGUGGUUAAUAACCGCAGCAAUUGACGUUACCCGCAGAA
Molecule: ribosomal RNA, 452 nt
Filed under: Salmonella enterica subsp. enterica serovar Enteritidis
Lineage: Bacteria; Pseudomonadati; Pseudomonadota; Gammaproteobacteria; Enterobacterales; Enterobacteriaceae
Description: bacterial SSU rRNA
Rfam family: Bacterial small subunit ribosomal RNA
Source: RNAcentral